CGAAUAACAAUCUUUGUCCACAAAACAUUUUUUUUUUUCAAAUUCAAACAUUAGUAUUGAAUUUAACUUGUUAAUUUUAAUUUCUGACCAACACUAUCUUCAUUUAUGAUGAUGGUGCUGAAUUAGUCUUAUUGUCAAGCGGCAAAUGUUACAUGCAUGUCGGUGACCCCUGCUUUGAACGAAGAAACGGAAUUUUAAAGUAAUUUUUCAGAAGGUUUAAAUUGUCCACAAAAAGCGAUUUCACACUUCCUAGACUAGUGGACUAGUUUUCAAGAUAUUUUGGGUCUGGCCUGUGAACUAACCAGCAGCAUCUUGCAUAUGAGGCGAUUGUGUUAUUACGAGAAAACCCAAGACUUUGAAAAACAUGACUAUCUCAUGAAAAUAAAUUAGAGGCUCAAAAAAUAACUUGCAGCUCACUUUAGUCUAUGUGUAUUUCAGCUAUGGAAACUUCAACAAUGUGAAAAUAGUUCAUGGCUAAAUUUCUCUGUUUUGUCGAUUUUUAUCAUUGCUGAUAGUUUCGGUUUUAUGUUAGCCCGGCUGUAAAUCAGGUUUAAUCCACCAUUUUCUAAAUCAGAAAAUUUCUGAACCAAGUCAGGAAUAUGACAGUUGUUAUAUGGAUAUGUUUGAGCUAUUGCUUUUGCCAUUUGAUAAG
This 652-nucleotide long non-coding RNA is filed under the name Mytilus galloprovincialis (Mediterranean mussel). The record is from RNAcentral. Lineage: Eukaryota; Metazoa; Mollusca; Bivalvia; Mytilida; Mytilidae.